GGGGCGGUAGCUCAGUGGAUAGAGUGGAAGAUUGCAAUGUACCAUAAUUAAGUGGUCGGUUAGAGUUGCAACCUAUCUUUAGGUCGCCGGUUCGAUCCCGCCCGUCCCU
This 109-nucleotide transfer RNA is filed under the name Aspergillus bombycis. It matches the Rfam family "tRNA". From Rfam's summary of the family: Transfer RNA (tRNA) molecules are approximately 80 nucleotides in length. The record is from Rfam by way of RNAcentral. Lineage: Eukaryota; Fungi; Ascomycota; Eurotiomycetes; Eurotiales; Aspergillaceae.